RNAcentral lists this ribosomal RNA (478 nucleotides) under uncultured bacterium. Its description in RNAcentral is "partial 16S ribosomal RNA". It matches the Rfam family "Bacterial small subunit ribosomal RNA", at positions 28 to 523 of the family's 1533-position model. The record is from RNAcentral.
GACGAACGCUGGCGGCGUGCUUAACACAUGCAAGUCGAGCGAUGAAGUUCCUUCGGGAAUGGAUUAGCGGCGGACGGGUGAGUAACACGUGGGUAACCUGCCUCAUAGAGGGGAAUAGCCUUUCGAAAGGAAGAUUAAUACCGCAUAAGAUUGUAGCAUCGCAUGAAGUAGCAGUUAAAGGAGUAAUCCGCUAUGAGAUGGACCCGCGUCGCAUUAGCUAGUUGGUGAGGUAACGGCUCACCAAGGCGACGAUGCGUAGCCGACCUGAGAGGGUGAUCGGCCACAUUGGGACUGAGACACGGCCCAGACUCCUACGGGAGGCAGCAGUGGGGAAUAUUGCACAAUGGGGGAAACCCUGAUGCAGCAACGCCGCGUGAGUGAUGACGGUCUUCGGAUUGUAAAGCUCUGUCUUCAGGGACGAUAAUGACGGUACCUGAGGAGGAAGCCACGGCUAACUACGUGCCAGCAGCCGCCGUAA